This is a non-coding RNA of Pelobates cultripes (western spadefoot toad), 662 nucleotides long. The record is from the annotation of a GenBank genome assembly. NCBI's taxonomy places the organism in Eukaryota, Metazoa, Chordata, Amphibia, Anura, Pelobatidae.
UGGAAUAUCAGUGAACGUGAAUUUCAAAUAAAUCUAAUUCUUUCAACUAAAGUCAUUGUGGUUUAAAGGGACACUAUAAUCACCAGAACUACAGCUUAUUGCAUUUGUUCUGGUGAAUAUAAUCAUCCCCUUCAGGCUUUUUGCAGCAAACACUGUCUUUUCAGACAAAAUGCAGUGUUUACAUUCAGAGGCAUAACUAGAACUUUUCAAUCUCCAGGCUUUCAAAGAAAUUUGGCUGUGUUGUCUCCUUGGACAAUGAGGAAGAAUGGCUAUUAUCUCCACCUUCUCCUUCCAUAUUUUCUUGUGUUUCCUCUGAAUUAGCAGAAACACGUGAGAAAAAAUAUCAUAGUUGAAAUUACAAUUUCUGAGGUAGAGCACUUUGACCUUUCGUUCUUCUUGAGUAAAACAAGGGGAGCAGUUUGGUUUUUUUCAGCUUGCCAUCAGAUCUAUAUCUGGUAUACCCCAUAAGUCACAAAUUAUUUGAAAGGUAUCCAAACUUUGCUUCCACUCACCAGGUUGGCUCAGAUAAUCUGUAAAUAUGUUUAGUUGUCCUAGUAGGUGUAUAGCGGACAGCCCUUCCAGAUUCUGUUGUGCCCCCCAAAAAAUUGGUAUAGUCUCUUGCAUCAAUCUCUUGCCUUUUGUCCCUCCUUGGUGAUUUAAAG